RNAcentral lists this ribosomal RNA (253 nucleotides) under uncultured bacterium. Its description in RNAcentral is "partial 16S ribosomal RNA". It matches the Rfam family "Bacterial small subunit ribosomal RNA", at positions 524 to 776 of the family's 1533-position model. The record is from RNAcentral.
UACGAAGGGGGCUAGCGUUGUUCGGAAUCACUGGGCGUAAAGCGCACGUAGGCGGAUUGUUAAGUCGGAGGUGAAAUCCCAGGGCUCAACCCUGGAACUGCCUUCGAUACUGGCUAGCUCGAGUCCGGGAGAGGUGAGUGGAACUGCGAGUGUAGAGGUGAAAUUCGUAGAUAUUCGCAAGAACACCAGUGGCGAAGGCGGCUCACUGGCCCGGUACUGACGCUGAGGUGCGAAAGCGUGGGGAGCAAACAGG